AUGUAAACAUAAUUUCUCAUACCUCAUUUCGUAGAUACCCCUAGACGUAGUUCCUCCUUUAUCCUUCUCUUUAAGUCACAAAGCCUUUGCCAACGUUCAUCUGAAUUAAGCCCUUCACUUUCAAGAGUGUUACGUGCAGAAGAAAAUUGCCGAGAAGGGGUGUAGGUAAGGUGAGAAUAAGGAGUCGUGGUGUUUUGCCUUGGGCGAUGAGAAGGAGAAUUGAAA
Molecule: long non-coding RNA, 225 nt
Filed under: Capsicum annuum
Lineage: Eukaryota; Viridiplantae; Streptophyta; Magnoliopsida; Solanales; Solanaceae
Description: long non-coding RNA (CANN_LNC004092)
Source: RNAcentral